RNAcentral lists this long non-coding RNA (743 nucleotides) under Equus caballus (horse). RNAcentral describes it as "lncRNA (ENSECAG00000057247.1)". The record is from RNAcentral. Lineage: Eukaryota; Metazoa; Chordata; Mammalia; Perissodactyla; Equidae.
AAUCCCUGUAGAUUAAAUUGUAACAGAGAACCAGAGACUUGAUGAGUUUCCAGACAAGAUGAGAACACUGUACUGCUGUUCCUGCCAGGAGGAAGAAGCCUGCUUCUGCUGUUCUCUAUGGAGGAAGAGAAAACAAUUUUUUUAAGAUUAAUGGCUUCACAUCAAGUGACAAAAAAAUAUAAAAAGACCCCAUACACACCUGGAAGAGCGACUGCUGCUAGACCCAUCACCUGAGUGAGCUCAUGAUGAGUCCCCGUCGUUCAUGAAGGCCAGUGCCUUCUGCAUAGACCAAACAGAUUGGACUCUGGCACUUUCCCCUGAGGCAGGCAAACAUCCAACUCCAGUUAUGGGGACUGGAGACCAUGGGAGCAGGGCCCGAAGAGAAUUGGCCUCCCCCUGCGUGGGAGAUGGAAAACACGCCCGCGACGUUUUGCUGCUCCUUCCAUCCGGAGCCAGUCUGUUCCUCACCCCUCAAAGCUGGGCUGGCCCCGUGACUGCGCUGACCUACGGACUGUGAUGGAAGGUGGCAUGAUACAAGUGGCAGAGCCCAGGCCUUCAUCCUCUCAGAACCCUGAGCCACCGUGCCGGGAAGGAGCCAGGGAUGCAGGGCCACGUGAGAGAGAGGCUUGGCGCCCAGCCAUUGCCGCCACCCCAGCUGAGCCCAGCAUCCAGUGAACGCAGUCACCUGAGCGAACCCAGACAAGACCAGUGGAAGGACUGCCCGGCCAACCCGCGGAACUGGG